AGGUCAAGCAAAUCCCAUAAAGUUGUUCUCAGUUCGGAUUGUAGUCUGCAACUCGACUACAUGAAGCUGGAAUCGCUAGUAAUCGUAGAUCAGCAUGCUACGGUGAAUACGUUCCCGGGUCUUGUACACACCGCCCGUCACACCACGAGAGUUUGUAACACCCGAAGCCGGUGGAGUAACCAUUUUGGAGCUAGCCGUCGAAGGUGGGACAAAUGAUUGGGGUGAAGUCGUAACAAGGUAGCCGUAUCGGAAGGUGCGGCUGGAUCACCUCCUUUCUAAGGA
This 282-nucleotide ribosomal RNA is filed under the name Staphylococcus agnetis. Its description in RNAcentral is "partial 16S ribosomal RNA". It matches the Rfam family "Bacterial small subunit ribosomal RNA", at positions 1260 to 1533 of the family's 1533-position model. The record is from RNAcentral. Lineage: Bacteria; Bacillati; Bacillota; Bacilli; Caryophanales; Staphylococcaceae.